This 1037-nucleotide small RNA is filed under the name Pan troglodytes (chimpanzee). RNAcentral describes it as "retained intron". The record is from RNAcentral. Lineage: Eukaryota; Metazoa; Chordata; Mammalia; Primates; Hominidae.
GGAAUGUUUAAAAGCCAAUUUUGCCUUAUGUAUUGAUUUUAGAACCUUAUUUGUAGCAAUUUAUUGAAAAAAAAAAACGUAUUUGAAACUUUGACAGCAACUGUCGUGCUGCUGCAGCCAGGUCACUGACAGCUCUAAUGGCCCCUUUAUUAUCUCUUUCCUGUUUCUGGGCAAACCUCUUAGCCAUUCGUUCCUGGUUAACUCGGAAACACAUCCAGAGGCUGCAUGCAGCUGCCACAGUCAUCAAGCGUGCAUGGCAGAAGUGGAGAAUCAGAAUGGCCUGCCUUGCUGCUAAAGAGCUGGAUGGUGUGGAAGAAAAACACUUCUCUCAAGUUCCCUGUUCCCUGAGCACCUCGCCGCUGCAGACCAGGCUCCUGGAGGCAAUAAUCCGCCUCUGGCCCCUGGGACUGGUCCUGGCCAAUACGGCUAUGGGUGUAGGCAGCUUUCAGAGGAAAUUAGUGGUCUGGGCUUGCCUCCAGCUCCCCAGGGGCAGCCCCAGUAGCUACACUGUCCAGACAGCACAAGACCAGGCUGGUGUCACGUCCAUCCGAGCGCUGCCUCAGGGAUCGAUAAAGUUUCACUGCAGAAAGUCUCCACUGCGGUAUGCUGACAUCUGCCCUGAACCUUCGCCCUACAGCAUUACAGGCUUUAAUCAGAUUCUGCUGGAAAGACACAGGCUGAUCCACGUGACCUCUUCUGCCUUCACUGGGCUGGGGUGAUCCUUGGUGCCUUUGUUUCCACAAGGCCUUUUCCUGCCCCCUGCCUUGCCAAAGACAUUUAAUCAGCACACAGCUGCCAGACUAUUCCCACAGUGCUCCAAAUGCACAUGAACAACAGUGACGGCUCCAGCCCUCGACCCAGAGCCCCGUGCCCAGUGCGUCAGUGGGCCUGGGGUUCCAGGCUACAUCAAGCACGGAUGGUGUCAGGGCUGGUAGUUACCAAACCAGGGUUAAGAAACAUCAGGGCCACAUUUCAUUACCUUCACAGAUCAAACUCAGCAGCAGUCAUGACUGUCUGUCACUACAUUGGGGAUCCCA